CCUACGGGCGGCAGCAGUGAGGAAUAUUGGUCAAUGGGCGGAAGCCUGAACCAGCCAAGUCGCGUGAGGGAUUAAGGCCCUGCGGGUCGUAAACCUCUUUUGCCGGGGAGCAGUGGUCCGGACGCGUCCGGACCGGGAGAGUACCCGGAGAACAAGCAUCGGCUAACUCCGUGCCAGCAGCCGCGGUAAUACGGAGGAUGCGAGCGUUAUCCGGAUUUCUUGGGUUUAAAGGGUGCGUAGGCGGGCAUUUAAGCCGGCGGUCAAAUGUCGGGGCUCAACCCCGGCCUGCCGUCGGAACUGGGUGCCUUGAGUGGGCGAGAAGUAUGCGGAAUGCGUGGUGUAGCGGUGGAAUGCGUAGAUAUUAGGAGGAACAUCAGUGGCGAAGGCGACUAUCUGGACAGCAACUGACACUGAGGCACGAAAGCGUGGGGAGCAAACAGGAUUAGAGACCCCUGUAGUC
This 460-nucleotide ribosomal RNA is filed under the name uncultured bacterium. RNAcentral describes it as "partial 16S ribosomal RNA". It matches the Rfam family "Bacterial small subunit ribosomal RNA", at positions 338 to 795 of the family's 1533-position model. The record is from RNAcentral.